Meleagris gallopavo (turkey) is the source of this 4453-nucleotide non-coding RNA. Lineage: Eukaryota; Metazoa; Chordata; Aves; Galliformes; Phasianidae. The record is from RefSeq and is a predicted model, not a curated record.
UACAGAGAUGGGCAACAUCAGGAAUGUGAAUGUCUCCCCUUCCUUGUUGUUCUGAAGUUAUACACACUUUGCUAGCAGCUCAAAGCCUUUGCCUGAUAGGAAUCAUUAACAUGACUUCCUGCCCCGCUGUCUGGGGUCUGUCAACAAGUGGGUCUUCUUGGUUCUGUUCACUGCUUUUUGAGACUCUGCCUGCACUUUCUCUAAGCCACAAUGGAGCUUAGGACUCUCUUUUUCCUGUUGAGUUCAGCAUAUCUUCAACUCCUUCCGUGGUGGUGCAGCUUUGUCAGAAAGAGGGGAAAAUGCCCCUGUGUUCUGCAUAAGCUGCAGCUCUGGUGGUUGGUUGGGCUCUGCUUGGUGGUCAGAAGACACAGGUAGAGCAAGCCUCAUGGCAGGGAAGUAGACUUGGAUCUUUUGUGCACAGGGUAUGUCUGCAGUCAGUGGGAUUGGCAAUUCUGUAAUUGGCUCUGAGAUAUGCUACACUGCCUGUGUCCUCACGGUUGUAUUUAAAAAGGAAGCGUGGCAGUUGGUAUCUAGCCCAGUCUGGCAGGUACCCAGUAGGUGUAUCUACUGCAAAACAGCUCUGAGGACUGGAAUGGAAGGCUGGCAUCUAGGAUUUGGGCUUUGAUCUAGAAUAGGUGUGAAAGGAGGACCAAACUUAUUUUAAGAGUUGGAUCCUGUAGCAGAAAUGCUAAGUCACAGCAUGAAACAGUGAUGGAGCCCCUGGUGGGAAAGCAGGGCUAACCCAGGGGAGCUCAGGUGCAUGCAAUGCAGUGCACCUGAGUGCCCAGAAGGGGUGGAGCCAGGAUCCACCUCCUCCUAGACCUCUUUAAUGGUUGGCAGUGGAGGCAAGAGGCAAGAAGUAUCUCACUGGAUGUUCCUACCUACCUGAGGCUUUCUAAAGAGCAAAAGCAGAUGACAACCAGUCCUCCUAAUAAGCGAGGAAAGGGAGUUCCAGCUGAUGAACUAAGAACGAAGCGUUGCUAUCACAUUGAGUACUUCCUCCUACCAGAUGAUCUCAUGCCUAGAAAAAUGGAUUUGAUGGUGUUCGGGACGGUUGCAAAGCUAUUUGCAGAGUCUGAUUCCAAGACUAUUGUGCCAUGGCUUGAAAAUGACCAGAUGUGGAUCUCCUGGGACCAUAAUACAAAUGUCAAUGUCACUAAUGAAUUUCUAAUAAAAUUAAGAGAUCAUAAAAUAACUUUAAAACUUUGGGACACCAAGGACAAGGUUUUCUCAGAAGCAAGGCUUAGUAAACCAGAUGUGUCCUCAGCAGAAAGAGAUGCAGAGGCUGUUGGUGGAGUAAAACACACAGUGCUGCUGCAAAGAAAAUUGUUUGAAGGGAAUCAGCCAGCACCCAGCUGUACAAGAAUUAGAGAAGCAAAGGAAUCCAAGGCACAGAAAAGGUCUUCAGCCCUUUCAAUCAAAGAAGAAACUGAUCAGAGUGGACUAGGAACUUCAAGUUAUAAUGUACUACAUCCUUCAAAGGCAGAUGACUUCCUUACAGUAAGAAACAGGUGUGAGGGUAAGGCCCAACUUCUGAAACAGAAAGCAGUAGCUGCUUCUUUGCAUAAUACAACUUCAGAAGAAACUGGGAAAACAACCAGCAGUGUGGAAAUUCUGAUGCGUCAAACAGACAAGACAGCUACCUUUAAUGGUAGAAGGGAUGCUGGUGCUAAAAAGGACAUGGAUACUACUAGGGCAAACAUUGCUUCACUGCAGUUGGAUCUCAUGCCUCUCCUCUCAGGAGAAAACUCAGUGAUCAGUCGGCUGGAAGAAAACAGUCCUAUUCUUUUAGAUGCUUAUGUGUCUUUCACUGUAGAAACACCUCUUCUGUCUGAAAGACAAAGGCAUGAAUUGAAUCCACUGGUUAUAAAGAUUUAUUCAGCUACCAGCCUUCCAAACACACCUAUACCAAUAGAAGUGCUACAGAGAUUGUGUGUUCCUACCUAUUGCAAAUACAAAUUUCACAAUUUUCCAGCUCAUCAGACUCAUGGACAAAUCCACGGAACUCAUGUCUACUUUAAGGAUGUUAAUGUAAUUCUAACAGGAACAAUGAAACCUGGGGAAUUACAAAGGUAUCUUAGAGGUCCACCUUUGGAGAUUGAAGUUCACGAUAGGGAUAGAAAAAUUGAAGACAACGAAAAAAAGCCUUUUUUAUUUGGGGAGGCUCAAGCUGAUGAAAAUCUAGGAGAAGUGAGGCCCUUCGGUUGUAAAUCCACAGUUUGUAAUUCUUUUACAGAGAAUGAAAUGUGGCAUCCACAUGGGGUAGCUAAAGUAAGUCUAACUGAUCUAUUGUUGGGUAAAAAGUACUUGGCUAUUAGUGCGCCCAUUCGUAGCUGUUCAACUCCAAGUGCAUUUGUUUUCAAUAAAGAGGAUAAAAGUAAGAAGAUAGGGAAGAAGUAUCCACAGAUUCUAUUACCUAUGGGACAUUAUCUACAAGCAGACUCGCUUUUGAAAGUGAGAGUGGAAAUAGCAGUGCCAUUGAGAAUGCAUGCAGAAGGCGAUGAUGCUCAAGUGGCAGAUUGCCCAUACGGUUGUAUAAUCUACAUUUUUGACUACAGUAAUUCAUCUUUAUUGCAUGAUUUGGUGGAAGAGAUUACAGAAAUCAAUGCUACAGCCCUUCAGCUGGACUGUUAUCCUCCACACAUAAUCAGAAUGGCUCUUGAUACGUUAAAACUGAAAAGCACACUAAAGAAGGCUUCUGAGUUAGAUGUUGUUACUGGCUUUCACCUACUGGAUGGAGCUUCUCAUCUCUUUGUCUUGGAGGGGUUGAAAGACAAAGCCAUCAAGAAACUCUGGGAUAGACACUUUGAAAGAACUUAUGGACAUGAAGAUGGACGACUGGAAAUACUUUAUAAUUCACAGCUGUCUUUCAGUCAGCGCCUGUAUGCAGACCUGGAAGCAAUCUUUUAUCAUUUCCACCUCUGUAAGCCCCUCUUCAGUAUAGUGAAACAGCCUCUGCUUUAUGUCAGAGGAGCAGUUCCUUGGGCAUGUUUCCAAGCCUUGUCCAGGCUCAGUUUCCUCUGUCACAGUAAGAGGUUGAGGGAUGUUAUUCAGGGGGAUCUGCUGCCCUCGGCAGAAAUGAUCGCAGCAUUGAGUCAAGAGUACGGAGCUCCAUUAACUGAUGAGGAUCUCUUCACUCAGAAACCUCCUCUACUCUCAUUUUCCUCUGACUAUACACCACCAGGAAAUGUUAGCAGAGAGAAAAAGGCAGGAUAUUCUUCAUUAGAUGACUACAAUGAAAAAUACGUGCGGUGGAAGAAGGAAAUAGCAGACAAAAAGUCUUUUGAGAGAAACCAAAUUAGGGCUAACAUUGAUGCUGUGUGCCAGCUUAAAGGAAAGAUGAAAAAGCUGAAGUUUGAAGCUUUCAGGAUUUCUCCUGCUGAUGGCAAAUCUGUUUAUAACUAUAGCUCUCAGAGCCUGAAUUCUGCAGAACUUGCAAAGAAGCAUCUUCGCCAGGAAAUGGCAAAGGAGCCAAAAACAAGGUUCACUUAUUGUCACGAGUAUCUUUCAGCCACAUUUGACCCAGUUGAUGUGGCUACUGCCUGUAAGGAGUCCUUUGCAAAAUCCAGGAGUAUGUGGCUGUCGCCAGAUGGAUUUGUAUUUCCUGGAUUUAAGAGCAGCAUUGAAAGCAACCUGCACCCUCGGAUGCCUGAUGAGGCACGCGUGGAGGAGUUACAAGAGAAAUGGCAGGAGAAUGCUCUGCAUGCUAACAUGGAACCGGUGCUGUCACGAGGCAGAUGGAGCUGGGACAAACGGCGUGUUGACUUUGAGCUGUACAGGAAGCCACCUGAACCCCCUCUGACAACAGCCUCAAUGACAGGUGCUACUCAUUUUGUGCAAAAUGCAUUUGAUGAUACCAAGCUGAAAGUUCACCGGUGCUCUGCAGCAGCUGAGUUACACACACGUGGGCCAGAAGCCAGUUCUCAGCUACAGAAGCUGCAAGGACUUCUGAAAGAUGAGCCCCAGAAAUUCUCACUCAGGAAGCCAGGACUAAUUUUGAAGCCUAUCCCAGCCCUGUCAGUGUUGGACUCUCAGAACAGCUCAGAUGUCCUGCCAAGAAAGAAGAGUGUUUGUAGUGGCUUUAUACCAGGCCUUCAAGAGUGCCACAGCCUGAAGUGGAACGAGAACAUUAUCCCCUGUCACAGCAGAGACCAUAAGAAGUUUGAAAAGCUCAAAGGUGCAGAUUUCAAUUAAGUUUACUUGACUCUUAAACAAUCAGUUAACAAGAGUGACCAAGCAGCAAGCGGCUGCACUACUACUACUACCUGUACACAACAUGGAGUGGCCACAGUGCUUUGAACAAAAUCAGCUGAGGUCCUUCCCAAACUGGUCCUGGUCCUUCAAGUCUUUCAGUGCUUCUCUAAAGGAAGUGUCAUCCCUGGAGCACAGAUGUUAGAUGGCUGGGACUGAUACUGAAGUACACUUACAUCAUGGUCGUGGUUUCUUAGGCCAA